Molecule: non-coding RNA, 88 nt
Organism: Podarcis lilfordi (Lilford's wall lizard)
Lineage: Eukaryota; Metazoa; Chordata; Lepidosauria; Squamata; Lacertidae
Source: the annotation of a GenBank genome assembly
GCUCACCAAUAGCUCAGCUGGUAAGAGCACUGGUAAGAGCAUGAGACUCUUGAUCUCAGGGUUGUGGGUUCCAACCCCGCAUUGGGCA